GCCCAUGUAGCUCAGCUGGUAGAGCAAUCCCCUCGUAAGGGAUAGGCCGUUGGUUCGAAUCCGACCAUGGGCU
Molecule: transfer RNA, 73 nt
Filed under: Candidatus Portnoyibacteriota bacterium
Lineage: Bacteria; Candidatus Portnoyibacteriota
Description: Candidatus Portnoybacteria bacterium tRNA-Thr
Rfam family: tRNA
About the family: Transfer RNA (tRNA) molecules are approximately 80 nucleotides in length. Their secondary structure includes four short double-helical elements and three loops (D, anti-codon, and T loops).
Source: RNAcentral